UGUAGUCAUAUGCUUGUCUCAAAGAUUAAGCCAUGCAUGUCUAAGUAUAAAUAAAUUUAUAUUGUGAAACUGCGAAUGGCUCAUUAAAUCAGUUAUGAUCUACGUGACAUAUUCUUUACUACUUGGAUAACCGUGGUAAUUCUAGAGCUAAUACAUGCAAAAAAACCCUGACUUCGGAAGGGGUGCACUUAUUAGAUAAAACCAACGCGGGGUAAAACCUGUCUUCUUGGUGAUUCAUAAUAAUUAAGCGGAUCGCAUGGCCUUGUGCUGGCGACGGUCCACUCGAUUUUCUGCCCUAUCAUGGUUGAGAUUGUAAGAUAGAGGCUUACAAUGCCUACAACGGGUAACGGGGAAUA
RNAcentral lists this ribosomal RNA (356 nucleotides) under uncultured fungus. RNAcentral describes it as "SSU rRNA". It matches the Rfam family "Eukaryotic small subunit ribosomal RNA", at positions 21 to 371 of the family's 1831-position model. The record is from RNAcentral. Lineage: Eukaryota; Fungi.